UACAGAGGUCCCGAGCGUUGUUCGGAUUCAUUGGGCGUAAAGGGUGCGUAGGCGGUUUUCUAAGUUUGAUGUGAAAUCCCGGGGCUCAACCCUGGAAUUGCAUUGAAUACUGGGAGACUAGAGUACUGGAGAGGAAACUGGAAUUUACGGUGUAGCAGUGAAAUGCGUAGAGAUCGUAAGGAAGACCAGUGGCGAAGGCGAGUUUCUGGACAGUUACCGACGCUGAGGCACGAAGGCCAGGGGAGCAAACGGG
Molecule: ribosomal RNA, 253 nt
Filed under: uncultured bacterium
Lineage: Bacteria
Description: partial 16S ribosomal RNA
Rfam family: Bacterial small subunit ribosomal RNA
Source: RNAcentral